UACGGGGGGAGCAAGCGUUGUUCGGAAUCACUGGGCGUAAAGGGCGCGUAGGCGGCCCUCUUAGUCGCGUGUGAAAGCCCCGGGCUCAACCUGGGAACGGCGCGCGAAACGGGAGGGCUGGAGUUCGGGAGAGGAGAGUGGAAUUCCCAGUGUAGAGGUGAAAUUCGUAGAUAUUCGGAAGAACACCAGUGGCGAAGGCGGCUCACUGGUCCGGUACUGACGCUGAGGUGCGAAAGCGUGGGGAGCAAACAGG
This 253-nucleotide ribosomal RNA is filed under the name uncultured bacterium. RNAcentral describes it as "partial 16S ribosomal RNA". It matches the Rfam family "Bacterial small subunit ribosomal RNA", at positions 524 to 776 of the family's 1533-position model. The record is from RNAcentral.